This 497-nucleotide ribosomal RNA is filed under the name uncultured bacterium. Its description in RNAcentral is "partial 16S ribosomal RNA". It matches the Rfam family "Bacterial small subunit ribosomal RNA", at positions 28 to 507 of the family's 1533-position model. The record is from RNAcentral.
GAUGAACGCUGGCGGCGUGCCUAAUACAUGCAAGUCGAGCGAACGGACGAGAAGCUUGCUUCUCUGAUGUUAGCGGCGGUCGGGUGAGUAACACGUGGAUAACCUACCUAUAAGACUGGGAUAACUUCGGGAAACCGGAGCUAAUACCGGAUGAUAUUUUGAACCGCAUGGUUCAAAAGUGAAAGACGGUCUUGCUGUCACUUAUAGAUGGAUCCGCGCUGCAUUAGCUAGUUGGUAAGGUAACGGCUUACCAAGGCAACGAUGCAUAGCCGACCUGAGAGGGUGAUCGGCCACACUGGAACUGAGACACGGUCCAGACUCCUACGGGAGGCAGCAGUAGGGAAUCUUCCGCAAUGGGCGAAAGCCUGACGGAGCAACGCCGCGUGAGUGAUGAAGGUCUUCGGAUCGUAAAACUCUGUUAUUAGGGAAGAAAAUAUGUGUAAGUAACUGUGCACAUCUUGACGGUACCUAAUCAGAAAGCCACGGCUAACUACGUG